GAUGAAGAACGUAGCGAAAUGCGAUAAGUAAUGUGAAUUGCAGAAUUCAGUGAAUCAUCGAAUCUUUGAACGCACCUUGCGCCCUUUGGCUAUUCCGAAGGGCAUGCCUGUUUGAGUAUCAUGAACACCUCAACUCUCAUGGCUUGCCAUGAUGAGCUUGGACUUUUGGGGGUCUUGCUGGCCUGUGGUCAGCUCCUCUCAAAUGAAUUAGCCUGCCAGUGUUUGGUGGUAUCACAGGUGUGAUAACUAUCUACGCUUGUGGUUUUCCACCAGGUAACCUUCAGUGAUGAAGGUUCGCUGGGGCUCAUAAACGUCUCUCCUCAGUGAGGACAGCUCUUUGAACGUUUGAUCUCAAAUCAGGUAGGACUACCCGCUGAACUUAAGAAUAUCAAUAAGCGGAGGA
RNAcentral lists this unclassified non-coding RNA (403 nucleotides) under soil metagenome. RNAcentral describes it as "partial contains 5.8S ribosomal RNA, internal transcribed spacer 2, and large subunit ribosomal RNA". The stretch from base 1 to 121 matches the Rfam family "5.8S ribosomal RNA", at positions 35 to 154 of the family's 154-position model. The record is from RNAcentral.